UACGGAGGGUGCAAGCGUUGUUCGGAAUUACUGGGCGUAAAGGGCGCGUAGGCGGUCUGUUAAGUUCGGUGUGAAAGCCCCCGGCUCAACUGGGGAACUGCGCCGGAAACCGACAGACUCGAGUACCGGAGAGGAGAGUGGAAUUCCGGGUGUAGCGGUGAAAUGCGUAGAUAUCAGGAGGAACACCGGUGGCGAAGGCGGCCCUCUGGACGGAUACUGACGCUGAGGCGCGAAAGCGUGGGGAGCAAACAGG
Molecule: ribosomal RNA, 253 nt
Filed under: uncultured bacterium
Lineage: Bacteria
Description: partial 16S ribosomal RNA
Rfam family: Bacterial small subunit ribosomal RNA
Source: RNAcentral